GUAGUACUAACUAAGCAAGCCAAAAAUAUUGAUUACCAAAACCCAUUUUUGAUACAUUUAGUCUUCUUGAAGGAAACAAAAUGAAACAACUUAAAAGGGGGUAUAUAUGUUAGAUGCACAUUGACUCUCGUCUCUUGUCUAUGUACAUACAAUUCAAGAAGAAGGACAAUAAUCCUCUAACUAUUCUGCUGAUAGAAGUUUACCAACAUUUAUAUGUAUAUGAAGUAUUUAAAAGAUUCAAUAUGAUCAUCUAUGCAAUGGUGAUCUCCAAUCAAUCUUCUCCUCCUCAGGAUAAUCUUUUUGUACUUCUUUAGGAGGAAUGAAGCAAUCCAUAGAUAACCCUUCAACAUUAAAAGCUAUAUCAUCAAUGCUCCAAGUCUCCUCCAUCCUUGUAAUGGAAAGGCCUGCUUUUAAGUUGUCUCCAAAUCUUGUGAUCAUUACACUAGACUGACCACCGUGUGCGAUCAUCACUCCGUCUACCAUCCGGUAGUCUUCGACUUUCGUUGCAAUGGUGGUUUCCCAGUAUGUAGGGUAGGAUCCUGGUGAUUGAAUUCUGGUCAAGUAUGAGUCUUCUAGAUAAACCAGCAGCCCACUUCUCUGGCUGAAGUAACCAAACACUACAUGCUUGAUCAUUUCUGCUGUGCUAUCACUUCUAUCUGCUAAGUCUGCUAGAUCAGCAGACAAUUUCAGUACAAAACAAUCAAUUCCUGAGAUGCAUUUCUCUCCCAUGUAUUGUGCUGGAGAGAACACUGCUGAUAUUGCCAUUGGAUCUAAUCCCUGAAGAGUCCGGCGAAGAGGGCGGAGGCAACCUUUAGCCGCGUGAGCGCCAAGCCACGGAGUAUGGCGCCAAGCCACAUUACCAUCGCUACCGGCUACAACCUUAUUGCCGCUAACAACUAGUUCAAUUAGCCACUUAUUAGGGAACAUUUGCCACAUUACAAAACACCCCUUUUGUGCAUCACCAGUGGCUCCGGCUGCCAAACCAGGUGAGCCGCCUAGCUCAUCCACCAUAGCCAUUGCCACUUUUCCGGUGGCAAAUAUGUUCUUGACCCUCCCUUCUAAUUUCCGGCAACCGGUUGCCGCAGUGAAGUGUUGUAUAAUGUACUGGGCCGAGGAGCAUACCUCUUUGAUGGGUAGUUUGGGGUGAACGGAGACAGGAAAGAGAGGGCAACCAAGAACACUUAAGAGGAUCUUUAGGUCAGAUUUUUUGUUGAAGACAAGAGGGAAAUGAGACUUGAGCCAGUUCUUCCAUGACUGACCUGUCUUUGAGCAGUUGUUGCUCUUGUCUUCUUCUUCGUUUAUGGGCUCUUCUGACAAUGGUGCAAGCCUACUCAUUUCUUUGGUUUCUUUCUUUCUCUUUCUCUUUCUCUUUCAUCUGUCCUUUUCUUCUUCUUGUUCUCUUCCUUCUUAAUUACACUUCCAUGACUAGAACCUCCAUUGCUCUUUCCCUUUUUUGCUAGUUUUGUUUCUCCUUCUACUUCCCUCCUCUCAUCCUUGUUGUUCCUCUUUUCAUUUUUGCCUCCACGACUAGAAUCUCCAUUGUUCUUUGCCGUUUUACCUUCAUUCACUUUAUCUUCCUUCUUUGCAUUCAUAUUUUUCUCACUGUAAUCGUUUUUGCUUGUAGCUAUUUUUGCACCAACAUUUCGCUCCUUUUCUUCAACCUCCUUUUCUUUUUCUAUCAUCUUCUUCUUUCUCGUAUAUAUUUUCAAGUUUUCACUCUCGCUCAGCCCACAACCAUCCACUAUUUUCUUCCCCUUUCUUCUAUAAACCUUCUUCUGUACUUCCAAAUCCUCCUCCCUUCCCCGGCUAUUAGUAUUACCGACUUUGCUGCUCUCGACUUUUUCUUCCUCCUCCUCUUCUUCGUCUUCUUUGUCCGUAUCGCUUACAUACUCCUUGUGAACAUUCUGUACGUCGUCGCUUUCUUCGUCGGUUUCAUCGGCAUCUUGUGAUUCGGCACUGGAAGAUGGUAUGACGAAAUCCUCCGGCUCAUCUCUGUCGUGGUUGUCAGAAUUUCCGUUACUCUUCUUCGGCAUUACUGGAAUCUAGUAAGUUAAAUGGCUGCCGCCGUUUGCAACGGAUGUCCGCGGCGGAGAAGGGCACUUCCGUUGC
This 2109-nucleotide unclassified non-coding RNA is filed under the name Hevea brasiliensis (rubber tree). Lineage: Eukaryota; Viridiplantae; Streptophyta; Magnoliopsida; Malpighiales; Euphorbiaceae. The record is from RNAcentral.